This 301-nucleotide ribosomal RNA is filed under the name uncultured bacterium. RNAcentral's name for it is "partial 16S ribosomal RNA". It matches the Rfam family "Bacterial small subunit ribosomal RNA", at positions 509 to 808 of the family's 1533-position model. The record is from RNAcentral.
CAGUCGCCACGGUAAUACGUAGGGUGCGAGCGUUAAUCGGAUUUAUUGGGCGUAAAGGGAGCGCAGGCGGUUUAGUAAGUCUGAAGUUAAAGGCAUUGGCUCAACCAAUGUAUGCUUUGGAAACUGUUAGACUUGAGUGCAGAAGGGGAGAGUGGAAUUCCAUGUGUAGCGGUGAAAUGCGUAGAUAUAUGGAGGAACACCGGUGGCGAAAGCGGCUCUCUGGUCUGUCACUGACGCUGAGGCUCGAAAGCGUGGGUAGCGAACAGGAUUAGAUACCCGCGUAGUCCCUGUCUCUUAUACA